UACGUGAAACCGCUCAGAGGUAAACGGGUGGAUCCGCAAAAGUCGGCCGGCAGAAUUCAGCGCGGCGCGCGGCUCCGGGGCUGCUGUAGUCUGGGAUCCCUUGGACCCAACUGCGGUGCUGCGCCGGGCCCCGCCGUGUGCACUUUCUGCCGGCAGAGAGCCACAACCGGUUCGGCGUUGUGGCGGUGAGAUGUCAGGUGGGGUUGUAGGUGGGGGCGCUUGCGUCCCUACCAGCCCUAUUUGUCGAGCCGCCUCCGGACCGAGGAACUGCCAAGCGCUUCGAGGCCACCCUCCUCUCGGGGUGAGUUCGACUGGGAGAGACUGGGCAACCGUGUCUCCUGAACGCUUACUUUCGAUCAGCGCGGGGCUGGCCGGGCGCAUUCAGUGUGGGUUUGUGGCGAGUCUGUCGGCACUCCACCCGACCCGUCUUGAAACACGGACCAAGGAGUCUAACAUGCGCGCGAGUCAUUGGGUGGUACGAAACCCAAAGGCGCAGUGAAAGCGAGGUCGGUCAAACGCCUAGGUGGGAUCCGUCCCCUGAAGCUCUCUCCGAGGGUCAUUGGGGGGCGGCGCA
This 574-nucleotide ribosomal RNA is filed under the name Protostomia sp. NZAC 03009313. RNAcentral's name for it is "partial 28S ribosomal RNA". It matches the Rfam family "Eukaryotic large subunit ribosomal RNA", at positions 396 to 804 of the family's 3401-position model. Lineage: Eukaryota; Metazoa. The record is from RNAcentral.